RNAcentral lists this ribosomal RNA (694 nucleotides) under uncultured bacterium. Its description in RNAcentral is "bacterial SSU rRNA". It matches the Rfam family "Bacterial small subunit ribosomal RNA", at positions 111 to 823 of the family's 1533-position model. The record is from RNAcentral.
UAACGCGUGAGGAACCUGCCUUGCAGUGGGGAAUAACAGUUGGAAACGACUGCUAAUACCGCAUAAUGCAGAGAGACCGCAUGAUCUUUCUGCCAAAGAUUUAUCGCUGUAAGAUGGCCUCGCGUCUGAUUAGCUAGUUGGUGGGGUAACGGCCUACCAAGGCGACGAUCAGUAGCCGGACUGAGAGGUUGACCGGCCACAUUGGGACUGAGACACGGCCCAGACUCCUACGGGAGGCAGCAGUGGGGAAUAUUGGGCAAUGGGCGCAAGCCUGACCCAGCAACGCCGCGUGAAGGAAGAAGGCUUUCGGGUUGUAAACUUCUUUUAAGUGGGACGAUAAUGACGGUACCACUUGAAUAAGCUCCGGCUAACUACGUGCCAGCAGCCGCGGUAAUACGUAGGGAGCAAGCGUUAUCCGGAUUUACUGGGUGUAAAGGGCGUGUAGGCGGGACAGCAAGUCAGAUGUGAAAACUAUGGGCUCAACCCAUAGCCUGCAUUUGAAACUGUUGUUCUUGAGUGCUGGAGAGGCAAAUGGAACUCCUAGUGUAGCGGUGAAAUGCGUAGAUAUUAGGAAGAACACCAGUGGCGAAGGCGAUUUGCUGGACAGUAACUGACGCUGAUGCGCGAAAGUGUGGGGAGCAAACAGGAUUAGAUACCCUGGUAGUCCACACCGUAAACGAUGGAUACUAGGUGU